UAGCUCAGCUGGUAAAGAAUCUGCCUGAAAUGCAGGAAACCCAGGUUCAAUUCCUGG
Molecule: transfer RNA, 57 nt
Filed under: Bos taurus (domestic cattle)
Lineage: Eukaryota; Metazoa; Chordata; Mammalia; Artiodactyla; Bovidae
Also listed under: 4 other names
Rfam family: tRNA
About the family: Transfer RNA (tRNA) molecules are approximately 80 nucleotides in length. Their secondary structure includes four short double-helical elements and three loops (D, anti-codon, and T loops).
Source: Rfam by way of RNAcentral